RNAcentral lists this ribosomal RNA (434 nucleotides) under uncultured archaeon. RNAcentral's name for it is "bacterial SSU rRNA". It matches the Rfam family "Archaeal small subunit ribosomal RNA", at positions 19 to 458 of the family's 1478-position model. The record is from RNAcentral.
GGACCUGACUGCUAUCGGAUUGAUAUUAAGCCAUGCGAGUCAUUGUAGCAAUACAAGGCAUACGGCUCAGUAACGCGUAGUCAACCUAACCUAUGGACGGGAAUAACCUCGGGAAACUGAGAAUAAUGCCCGAUAGAACAUUAUGCCUGGAAUGGUUUAUGUUCCAAAUGAUUUAUCGCCGUAGGAUGGGACUGCGGCCUAUCAGUUUGUUGGUGAGGUAAUGGCCCACCAAGACUAUUACAGGUACGGGCUCUGAGAGGAGUAGCCCGGAGAUGGGUACUGAGACACGGACCCAGGCCCUAUGGGGCGCAGCAGGCGAGAAAACUUUGCAAUGUGCGAAAGCACGACAAGGUUAAUCCGAGUGGUUUCUGCUAAAGAAACCUUUUGUCAGUCCUAGAAACACUGAUGAAUAAGGGGUGGGCAAGUUCUGGUGU